RNAcentral lists this ribosomal RNA (301 nucleotides) under uncultured bacterium. Its description in RNAcentral is "partial 16S ribosomal RNA". It matches the Rfam family "Bacterial small subunit ribosomal RNA", at positions 509 to 807 of the family's 1533-position model. The record is from RNAcentral.
CAGUCGCCGCGGUAAUACGAAGGGUGCAAGCGUUAAUCGGAAUUACUGGGCGUAAAGGGUGCGUAGGCGGUGAGUUAAGUCUGUUGUGAAAUCCCCGGGCUCAACCUGGGAAUGGCAAUGGAUACUGGCUCGCUAGAGUGUGAUAGAGGAUGGUGGAAUUCCCGGUGUAGCGGUGAAAUGCGUAGAGAUCGGGAGGAACAUCAGUGGCGAAGGCGGCCAUCAGGAUCAACACUGACGCUGAAGCACGAAAGCGUGGGGAGCAAACAGGAUUAGAUACCCCUGUAGUCCCUGUCUCUUAUAC